GAGGGGCCCGAGGCCUGCCCACGCUCGGUGGGAGCGCUCUCGGGUACGCCCGGCGCCCCCUUGCUGGCUCUGCUUAGAGGCUGGGUGUUCUCGGACUCUGGGAGGAGUGGGUGGGGCAGGCCCGGUGCAAACAGGUGAGUGGGUUAUUUCAUGAUUUAGUUGGGGGCAUGGGAAGCGCCAUCAGGGAGCUAGGAAAUACCGUCGGAUUCUAGUUGUUUCCUGGCCCUCGGUUUCCCUACCUUUAAAACAGCCGUGUCAGUUACCCUCCCUAUCCCCUAGUUACGGCGAAGGCAUGUUAUUAACCAACAUACCAUUAAAAUUAGUCCAGCGAGGCUUUGAGCAGGAGCUAAAAAAAAUAAUAAUAAAUAAAUGGUAUAAAAAUUUUUCAAAAGAGAUUUAAAAAAGAAAAAUGUCCGGCUUGGAUACUUGGUAUGGAAGAGCAAUCAGAGGCCAAUUUACUUUUUAAAACGGGGCAUCUUUGAGACUGGUAGAUUCCAUCUCAGCUGCUCCAUAAAUUCUAGGCCAGUCGGCAUCUUUUCAGCAAAUACAGUAAACACAACGUUCAGGCCAUUCAGUUUCUUCUGUGUCUCCUCAAUUAAAAGAAAAAAAGUUUUUAAAAUAGAAGUGCUGCCUUUGGACGCCUUUUUAGUUGUAGAGGAAGUAUAGAAACAUAAACUGACAGCCCCUCCCUAGUAAUGUGGGGGUUAUGUCAAACUCGACUCCAGCACCUAGCAAAGUGGAGAAUCUGGUUCUGGAGUAUUGACUGACACCUCAAAUUUUCUGAAGAUAUUUGUACAACUACAUUCCAGUGCUAUAAUGCUCCUUCUGGUAGCUCCUUAAAUGAUCAAGCUCUGUCUCUAAAGAAAUGCAGUGAUAUCUGAAAUAGGGCUGAAUGUCAAUUUUAGAAAACGGUGGGUUUUCUGAAAUUACGGGAGUUAUGCAGGAGAAACAAGUUCUAUCACUUAAGAGAAAAGAUGACAUAUGGAUCGAUGAUCAAGUACCUGUCCCACACCCCAAGCAGAAGUGGCAGUCCUUGGAAAGAUGUAGACUUGAACUGUAGACUCCUUGGGAAAGUUUAAGGGAACACAUGAAGAAAAAAGCUGGGAGCUGCAGUGCCGUGAGGGUUAUGGAGCCUUCAGCACCAUAGCUCCUUCUAGUACACUCCAGAUUUGUUUGACCAACUGGGUGUGGCCACCAUGCAUGUGAAGCUGGAACUCAGGGUGUCUCCAGCUUGGUGUGAAUUCAGUUUGUGUCCAAUACCCCUCAUUCCUUUACGUGGUUGCUACAGGCGAGUGGGUACGCUUUUGGUCUCUGCAGGUUCUGCCGUGAGUCCAGCAGGAUGCAAGUGCCAUCUUGUAGAAUUCAUGGGAAUGGAGGAGGAUGGAUGCUGUGGCUGAAUAAACUCCUUCCCUGGGUCAGCAAGUGAACCUAGCACAAGGCACCGACUUGUGCCAUCCUGACCUGCCCUUGCAUUACCAGCUGUUUGGGAGAAUUGUAAAAAGGUGACUCAUUUAGAGUCAGAUUCUGUUUUAGGGGAAUAUCAUGCAGACCCUCUCCUGACUUCGUAGAAGGUUUUCUGACCUUGUCAAAAGGUUAGAGAGAGGCAGAUUACAUGACCAUUUUUUAAAAGAGGAAGAAAGUGAGUUCUGCAAACCACAGAUCAGUGAACCUGACAUUGGGCCUGGAAAAUCUUCAGGGCAGAUGACUUAACAAAAAAAUAUUUGUGACCUCUCCAAAGAUGAAACAACAGUGACAAAGACCAAGUCACACUAGGUUAACCUUAUUUCUUGAUGUGAAAUGUAUAAAUGUGUAAAUCAAGGAAAUAUGGUGGAAAUAUAUAUCUGGGCCUGGAAGGUAUAUUUCCCAGUAUUCUUUCAGUUAUAGUGAUGGAAACUCAAUUCAAACUGGUUUUUAAAAGAGAGGGGGCCGGGCGCGGUGGCUGACGCCUGUAAUCCCAGCACUUUGGGAGGUCGAGGCGGGCGGAUCAUGAGGUCAAGAGAUUGAGACCAUCCUGGCCAACAUGGUGAAACCUGGUCUCUACUAAAAAUACAAAGAUUAGCUGGGCAUGGUGGCAGGUGCCUGUAGUCCCAGCUACUCGGGAGGCUUGAGACAGGAGAAUCGCUUGAACCUGGGAGGCAGAGGUUGCAGUGAGCUGAGAUCGCGCCACUGCACUCCAGCCUGUCGACGGAGUGAGACUUAGUCCCCCCCCCCAAAAAAGGAAUAUGUUGGCAGACAUAAAAGGCUCUGGGGUUGGCUCAGCAGGAUCCAGGGGCACAAGUGAUGUCAUCAGAACUUGGUCUCUCCCACUCUUCACUGCUCCUUUGAGUUGGCUUCAGUCUCAGAUUAGGCUCUUUUUUUUUUUUUAAAUCAUCUCACUCUGUCACCCAGGCCGGAGUGCAGUGACGCAAUCUCAGCAACCUCCACCUCCUGAAUUCAAGCGAUUCUCUUGCCUUAGCCUCCCAAGUAGCUGGGAAUGCAGGUGCGCACCGCCAUGCCUGUCUAAUUUUUGUAUUUUUAGUAGAGAUGGGGGUUUCACCAUGUUGGCCAGGCUGGUCUCGAACUGCUGGCCUCAAGUGAUCCACCUACCUCGGCCUCCCAAAGUGCUGGGAUUACAGGCGUGAGCCACCACGCCUGGCCUCAGAUUAGGUUCUUUUUACAGAGUGUCCUCCAAGAGCUCUAGGCUUAUAUUGUCUCAGCUUAGCAGCCCCCAUGGAAAAAAGGAUCUUCUCUUUCAAUACUUUCAGCAAAAGCCCCAGGAUUUGUUCUGAAUGGACUGAUGCACCUGUGUGUUCAUCCCCUGGAACCAAUCUCUGAGGCCAGAUUGUUGGAAUAACUGGAUUGAUCAGAUCUGCACAGGAGUAGGGGUCAGCCCCACUCAUACUACUUGAGUGGAGAGCAAGGGAACAGAGGCUCUUCUGAGGAAACUGAGGUGGUCUGGCCAGAACAAGGAGGGUCGUUUCUGGAUAGGCAGGGAAAAGCUACAGAUAUCCAGGAUGGAGCCUCUGCCGACAUAUCUCAUGACAUUGUACAAAGGACACGGGAAGGAGGUAGGAGAAGCAGUAAAGUUAUUGGAUGGCUAAAUCAAUAUUUAAAAAUAUUCUGUCCGGGCACCGUGGCUCACGCCUUUAAUCCCAGCACUUUGGGAGGGCAAGGUGGGCGGAUCACAAGGUCAGGAGUUCAAGACCAGCCUGGCCAACAUGGUGAAACCCCAUCUCUACUAAAGAUACAAAACAUUAGCUGGGCAUGGUGGCGCGUGCCUAUAAUCCUGCCUACUGGGUAGGCUGAGGCAGGAGAAUCACUUGAACCUGGGAGGCGGAGGUUGCAGUGAGCCGAGAUCGUGCCAUUGCACUCUAGCCUAGGCAACAGAGCAAGACUCUGUCUCAAAAAAAAAAAAAAAAAAACAAAAAACUCUGAGACCAAGUGUGGGGCCUCAUGCCUGUAAUCUCAGCACUUUGGGAAGCCAAGGCGGGUGGAUCAUCUGAGGUCAGGAGUUUGAGACCAGCCUGGCCAUCAUGGUGAAACCUCAUCUCUACUAAAAAUACAAAAAUUAGUCAAGCGUGGUGGCACAUGCCUGAAAUCUCAGCUACUUGGGAAUCUGAGGCUGGAGAAUUGCUUGAACCCGGGAGGUGGAGGUUGCAGUGAGCUGAGAUCCUACCAUUGCAUUCCAACCUGGGCGACAGAGCGAGACUCUGUCUCAAAAAAAAAUACUUUGAAUAGGUUGGGUGUGAUGGCUCAUGCCUAUAAUCCCAGCACUUUGGGAGGCCGAGGCAGAUCACCUGAGCUCAGGAGUUUGAGACCAGCAUGGGCAACAUGGUGAAACCCCGUCUCUACCAAAAAUACAAAAAAUUAGCUGGGCAUGGUGGCGCAUGCCUGUAGUCCUGGCUACUUGGAAGCCUGAGGUUAGAGGGUUGCUUGAGCCUGGGAGGUCAAGGUUGCAGUGAGCCAAGAUUGUGCCGCUGCACUCCAGCCUGGGUGACAGAGGGAGACCCUGUCUCAAAAAACAAACAAAGAAAUACUUUGAAUAGAGGAUGAGUCCAAAAUACAACUAUACAAAAUAGCAGGUGAUAUGCAUUAGCACCAGUUCUGUGUGUGUUUGACUACCAUGCCUAUUUUUCCUUUGUUUGUAACAAAUCACCACAAACUUACUGGCUUAAAAACAACACAAUUGGCCAGGUGUGGUGGCUUAUGCCUGUAAUCCCAGCACUUUGGGAGGCCGAGGCGGGUGGAUCACCUGAGGUCAGGAGUUCAAGACCAGCCUGGCCAACACGGUGAAACCCUGUCUCUACUAAAAAUACGAAAAUUAGCCAGGCAUGGUGGUACACCUGUAAUUCCAGCUACUCCGGAGGUGGAGGCAGGAGAAUUGCUUGAACCUGGGAGGCAGAGGUUGCAGUAAGCUGAAAUUGCGCCACUGCACUCCAGCCUGGGCGACAGAGCGAUACUUCGUCUCAAAAAAAAAAAAAAAAGAAAAGAAAGAAAAGAAAACCAUAAUAUAUUAUCUUACAGUUCUGGAGGUCAAGUCCUAAAAUUGAGGUGUCAGCAGGGCUGUGUUCCUUUCAGAGGCUCUAGGGGAGAAUUGUUUGUCUUCUCUGGCUUCUAGAGGCCACCUGCAUUGCAUGGCUUGUGGCCCCUUCCUCUGUCUGCCUAGUCAGUCUCCUUUACUCUGGAACAGUUCCUCAGCUUUUCUUUGUCCUUUAAGACACUGAUAUUGACUAAGAGUGCAGGCCAGUUGUUCCAUAGGAUGUCCCUCCAUUUAGAUUUUCCUGAUUGUUCCCUUAUUAUUAGAGGCAGGUAACACAGUUUAGCAACAGCAAUUCAUAGUGAAGUUGUGAUCUUCUUAGUGCUUCAUAUCAGGAGGCACAUACUGUCUAUUUGUCUCAUUAUUGGUGAUACUAUGCUUGACCAAUGGUGAUAUAUUUCUCCAUUGUAAAGGUACCUUUUUUCCUUUGUAAGUAAUCAGAAAUUUGUGGGGAAGAUACUUUGAGACUAUUUAGAUACCCUAUCUUUCAACAAACUCAAUGAACUUUCAGCUAGUGGUUUAGCAUCCAUUAAUGAUAAGUCUAUAGUGGUCCCCAAAUGUUGAGUUGUCUUCUUCUCCUUCUUCUUAUUAUUAAGACAGAGUCUUACUCUUUUGCCCAGGCUGGAGUCCAGUGGCGCAAUCUCAGCUCACUGCAACCUCCGCCUCCCACGUUCAAGUGAUUCUCCUGCCUCAGUCUCCCAAGUAGCUGGGAUUACACGCAUGUGCAUCAUGCCUGGCUAAUUUUUUUUGUAUUUUUAGUAGAGUUAGGGUUUCACCAUGUUGGCCAGGCUGGUCUCGAACUCCUGACCCCAAGUGAUCCAACCGCCUCGGCCUCCUAAAGUGCUGGGAUUACAGGUGUGAGCCACUGUGCCUGGCUGAGUUUUCUAAUUCUAUUGCUCCACCUACAUUUAUUAGUUGACAUUUCCCUGUAUCUGUCUUUGCCCUUUUUUUUUUUUGAGACAGAGUUUCGCUCUGUCGCCCAGGCUAGAGUGCAGUGGCGCGAUCUCGGCUCACUGCAAGCUCCGCCUCCCGGGUUCACGCCAUUCUCCUGCCUCAGCCUCCUGAGUAGCUGGGACUACAGGCGCCCGCCACCACGCCUGGCUAAUUUUUUUUUUGUAUUUUUAGUACAGACAGGGUUUCACCGUGUUGGCCAGGAUGGUCCCGAUCUCCUGACCUCGUGAUCCAACCGCCUCGGCCUCCCAAAGUGCUGCGAUUACAGGCGUGAGCCACUGCGCCCGGCCUGUCUUUGCCCUUUUCUAAUCUGUCCUCCACAAAGCAGCUGGAGGGCUCUCUUUUCUCCUCUCCUCCUCCUCCCCUCCCCUCUUCUCUCUCUCCUCUCCUUAUCUCCUCCUCUUUCUCUCUCUCUUGUUCUCUUUCUCUCUUUUUCUUUCUUUCUUUCUUUCACAGUCUUGCUCUGUUGCCCAGGCUGGAGUGCAGUGGCACAAUCUCUGCUCACUGCAACCUCCGUCUCUUGGGUUCAAGUGAUUCUCGUGCCUCAGUCUUCUGAGUAGCUGGGAUUAUAGGUGCAUGCCACCAUGCCCAGCUAUUUUUUUGUAUUUGUUUUUCUUUAGUAGAGACAAGGUUUCACUGUGUUGGCCAGGCUGGUCUCAAACUCCUGGCCGCAGUUGAUCCACCUGCCUCAGCCUCCCAAAGCUCUGGGAUUAUAGGUGUGAGCCACCACGCCUGGCUUUUUUUUUUUUUUUUUUGGAUGGAGUCUCGCUCUGUCACCAGGCUGGAGUGCAGUGGCAUAAUCUUGGCUCACUGCAAUCUCCGCCUCCUGGGUUCAAACGAUUCUUCUGCCUCAGCCUCCUGAAUAGCUGGGACUAAAGGUGUGCGCCACCACACCCAACUAAUUUUUGUAUUUUUAGUACAGACAAGGUUUUACCAUGUUGGCCAGGAUGGUCUCCAUCUCUUGACCUUGUGAUCCGCCCACCUCGGCCUCCCAAAGUGCUGGGAUUACAGGUGUGAGCCACUGUGCACCCCCCCCUUUUUUAAUUUUUAAUUUUUUUUUAAGAGAGGGUCUUGCUCUGUCACUUAGGCUGGAGUGCAGUGGUGUGAUCACGGCUUACUGCAGCCUUGACCUCCUGGGCUCAAGCGAUCCUCCCACCUCAGCCUCCUGAGUAGCUGGCACUACAGGUGUGUGCCACCUUAACUGGCUAAUUUUUGUAUUUUUUGUUGAGAUGGGGACUCACUAUGUUGCCCAGACUGGUCUCAAACUUCUGGGCUCAGGUAAUCCUCCCCGCUCAGCCUCCCAAAAUGCUGGGAUUACAGAUGUGAGCUUCUGUGCCUGGCCUGGAGUGACCUUUAAAAACCACAAAUGUGCUCCAGUCCUUCAGUGGCUUUCCUCUGCCCCUCACAUAUGCCAGCGUCCUUCACCUGUUGCUAGGGCCCAGCAUGACCUGGCCCUUCCAAGCUUUCUGUGUGGUCUCGAACCGCUUCCCCUUGCCCUCCACACACUGACCCUCGCAGGGCCUUAAAGAAUCCAUGCUCCUUUCUACUGUAGGACCUGCCUGCGUGUCCCUUUGCCCAGAACCCACUUCCUUUGACCUCAAGCUCCUUUGCUCAACAAAUAUCCAUGUCUUUCACAUGUCACAUCCUAAAGGAAUCCCUGCAUGUGACCUCCAGACCAAGUCAGAGUCCUGGGUGUAUCAUCUCAGCAAAUAAUAUCAUCUUCCUCCACAGAAACACGUUUGCAAUUAUGCAUUUGUGAAAAUGGACUCUAAGCUCCAUAACAGGCAGGAGCUUUGCCUAGCUUUGCUCACUCAUGUGUCUGCAGCACUUAGCAUGGUACCAGGUACACUUGUUGAAUGAAUAAAUAUGAGUUUAAAACCAGGAUCGCAGGGAGAAGGUAGACAAGAUGAGGACUGGGUUAUUGUAGCCUGAGGACAAAUGGGCAGGGGCUUGCUUCUGAAGGACUCAGUGGAUGUGGUCAUGGUACCCACUGUAGGAGACCCGUGCCUAAGGCAAGCCCUCGAGGAGGCUGGCUUGGCACAGAGCUAGGAUUGUGGGCUCUUUCCAGAGGGGUGUGGCGCAGCCGAAACGGCAGAGCUUUCAUAGCCUAGUGUUGCUCACCUGCCAGCUGGCUCUGCUCCUGUACUUCAUUUGGUCAAUGGCUUACAUCUGACUCUCAGUUUCUGCAGCUGUACAAAGAGAUUUCACAGGGUGGUGAGGAUGAAGUGAGUCUACGAGGGGGUAUAACAGCAGCUAAGAAGUUCAAGGCACAUUUGGGGCGGCAUCCUGGCUCUCCACCUCUUCACUGUGUGACCGGGAGCACACUGCUCAACCUCUCUGGUCCUGUUUGUCUAGAAAAGGGACCAAUCAUAGUGAGUUCACUCAUUCAUUCAGUGCAGAUCUAUUGAAUGACUACUUUUUCAAAAGUUUUUAUUAUUUAUUUAUUGGAGACAGAGUCUUGCUCUGUCACCCAGGCUGGUGUGUAGAGGCACAAUCUCGGCUCACUGUAACCUCUGCCUCCUGGGCACAGAGCCAUUCUUCUGCCUCAGCCUCCUGGGUAGCUGGGAUUACAGGUGCCUGCCACCACGCCCGGCUAUUUUUGCAUUUUUAGUAGAGACGGGGUUUCACCAUAUUGGCCAGGCUGGUCUCGAACUCCUGACCUCAGGUGAUCUGCCCGCCUCAGCCUCUUAAAAGUGCUGGGAUUACAGACCUGAGCCACCGUACCUGGCCAGAUGACUACUUCUUUUUAGAGGCAGGGUCUCACUCUGUUGCCCAGGCUGGCAUGCAGUGGCUAUUCACAUGAGUGCCUACUUUUGGACAGGCAGUGGGGACACAGUGAACAACACCAACAAAACCCCCUGCCUUUUGUGAGGCUUGCAUUCCGAUGAGGAAUAGUCAACGGGGUAAGUGAAGGAUACAGGUGAGACGUGAGAUGUGGCAAGGAGUAAACCAGGGAAGGGAAACGAAAUACGUUGCAGGAAUGCGAGGGAGGGAGAAAUUUUACAUGGGGGACCGGGGAGGAAAACACUUUCUGAGUCAAGUCCUAACAGCCACGAGAGAAUGAGCAUGGACGACCUUGGUCACGCUUGGCACUCAGUGAGUGGCCCACACAAGGCUUUGCCAAGCACCCUACCUCCAAUUCCAGACCUGCUCCACCUACAGCGGAGGUGAGGUGGCCUGCAGAAAAGGAAUUCAGGGACACGUCACCCUCUUCGGGUUUAAACAUCUACCACAGGUUGUGGAAUUUCAGUCUUCUGGCUUUCCUAGCAUGGCUGUUGAACUCAACACCACAAACUCGGUGGGAAAAAUAAGAACCCAAACACCCGUCCGGAACAAGUCUCUGAUUUUCCACUGCAUAACCUUUGCGAGUUUCUCUCUCUCCCUGCCAGCAUCUACUUGAAAUAGAGAAGACACCAGCUGGGCGCAGUGGCUCAUGCCUGUAAUCUCAGCACUUUGGGAGGCCAAGGUGGGCGGAUCACCUGACAGGGUUGGGAGUUUGAGACCAGCCUGACCAACAUGGAGAUACCCCGUCUCUACUAAAAAUACAAAAUGAGCCGGGCGUGGUGGCACUUGCCUGUAAUCCCAGCUACCAGGGAGGCUGAGGCAGGAGAAUUGCUUAAACCUGGGAGAUGGAGGUUGCGGUGAGCUGAGAUCGUGCCAUUGCACUCUAGCCUGGGCAACAAGAGUAAAACUCUGUCUUAAAAAAAAAAAAAGAAUACAAAUAAGUGUACAUAACUGAAUGAAUUUUUACCUAAUGAACAUCCGUAUAACCAGCAGCCAGACCAAGAGAUUGAAUAUUACUAGCACCCUGCCCCCCACGCUCCCUUCCCUUCAGUGAGAAUCACUGCCUUGCCCUGUCUUCCUACACCGAAGAUCAGUUUUGCCUCUUUUUAUUAUAUUGCAUGUACUCUUUUGUGUCUUCCUGCUUUUACUCAACAUUAUGAGACAAGAAUAAUCCAGGGUGGCCACAGGAGAAUUAAAUUCUGGGCAGUAGUUUCACAUGACUAGAGGCUAUGGACUUAUAAGACCCUGAAACCCAGGAUGUGGGUCAAACUGGCUGAGACCAACUGGACCCAACAUGGCACUGGAUGUGACCAGGUUUCUCCUAGGACCUCAAUAUACACUCAUUAAUAUCCUAAACACACACCCACCCGUGUCUCGACAGUUCCAAGAACACCCAGGUUUGAUGUAAAAAUGGGUGGCACCACAGUUCCAAGAAAUCUCCACCUUUUCCCAGGAAUGUUCAUGAAUAUCCCAGUCCUUGGUUAAAGAAACCUAUAGAGGUAGCAACCUCAAACCCCCUUACACGUGACUUUUGAGUCCGCCCGCAUUCCCUUGAGUGUGUACUUUUCC
Molecule: long non-coding RNA, 9820 nt
Filed under: Homo sapiens (human)
Lineage: Eukaryota; Metazoa; Chordata; Mammalia; Primates; Hominidae
Description: HSALNT0387464
Source: RNAcentral